AAAAGAAGUUUUGCUGGUAAGAUGAUUUGCCAAUGGAGGGAGAAUCUGGUGACUUCUCAGCCGGCACUAAAAUUUGCUGUUUCUAUACAAGUGUUUUAACAUACAACCACAGAUGUUGGUCAUGCUACACUUUCUAAUUGAUGCAAGUUUAUGUUGAUUGCAAAGGAACACAGACCUUAUUGUAAGGAAAUUAUUGUGUGACUACUAUUGCUCUUAAAUCAUGUGGUUUCAGGUUUGGCUUUUCCAAUUUUACGCUUUUUCCUUGUGUAUGUAUUUGUCUAAUAUGAAUGGACGUGAGAAUUGUUAAGGGCUCCGCAUAUUCAUAGAUUUUACAUAUCAUCUGGGUGCUUAGUUUUGUACAAUGGUCUGUCAGCAGCUGCCCAUUUCUGUUGCUUAGGAUUUAGGAUUACCUGUCUACUAUUUAUUCAGGGUACUGGUGUGCAUUUCACUUUUCCCAUAAAAAUGGGUCUUCUUGGAGGAUAUGACUCGACAAAUUCUUGAUGUUUUUCAGUUACUAAAUAGAAAGUUGUGCUUAUUUUACAAUUGUAGAAUAUGGAAAGUUGUGUUUAUUUUACAGUUGUAGAAUAUGGACUUGCCGAAGGUGUUUUGAGUGGCUUACAUGGGUCGUGACUCAUGAUUCAUUUCUGCUUAAGAUUUUGGAAGAAAAUGCUCAUGAGUAACUUCUGAGCUUGUAUGUGACAGCUAUGG
This 708-nucleotide unclassified non-coding RNA is filed under the name Hevea brasiliensis (rubber tree). The record is from RNAcentral. Lineage: Eukaryota; Viridiplantae; Streptophyta; Magnoliopsida; Malpighiales; Euphorbiaceae.